This 366-nucleotide ribosomal RNA is filed under the name uncultured organism. Its description in RNAcentral is "bacterial SSU rRNA". It matches the Rfam family "Bacterial small subunit ribosomal RNA", at positions 526 to 896 of the family's 1533-position model. The record is from RNAcentral.
CGGAGGAUCCAAGCGUUAUCCGGAAUCAUUGGGUUUAAAGGGUCCGUAGGCGGUUUAGUAAGUCAGUGGUGAAAGCCCAUCGCUCAACGGUGGAACGGCCAUUGAUACUGCUAGACUUGAAUUAUUAGGAAGUAACUAGAAUAUGUAGUGUAGCGGUGAAAUGCUUAGAGAUUACAUGGAAAACCAAUUGCGAAGGCAGGUUACUACUAAUGGAUUGACGCUGAUGGACGAAAGCGUGGGUAGCGAACAGGAUUAGAUACCCUGGUAGUCCACGCCGUAAACGAUGGAUACUAGCUGUUGGGAGCGAUCUCAGUGGCUAAGCGAAAGUGAUAAGUAUCCCACCUGGGGAGUACGUUCGCAAGAAUG